Patiria miniata (bat star) is the source of this 696-nucleotide long non-coding RNA. RefSeq lists it as uncharacterized. The transcript has 4 exons. NCBI's taxonomy places the organism in Eukaryota, Metazoa, Echinodermata, Asteroidea, Valvatida, Asterinidae. The record is from RefSeq and is a predicted model, not a curated record.
AGAUUUUUGUGCUCAUUCAGAGUGAGAAGAUCAAGAAUGACUACACGUGUCUCUGGUUGGCAAGAUGCUACAUCGUGAAUCGUAAGGCCAGACUAGCCUGGGAGUUGUACCUUAAGAUGGAGACGUCUGGCGAAUCGUUCAGCCUGCUGUAGCUCAUUGCCAACGACGGCUACAAGAUGGCCAGUUCUACUAUGCGACCAAGGCUUUCGGUGUCCUGGAAAGAUUGGACCCCAAUCCUGAAUACUGGGAAGGCAAGCGAGGGGCGUGCGUGGGCGUAUUCCAGCAGAUCAUAGCUGGCCAUGAACCAAGAGAAACACUGCGAGACAUCCUCCAAAUCUUGCGCAACACCGGUAACCCACAGGUGGAAUACAUCAUCCGUGUCAUGAAGAAGUGGGCCAAGGACAACAGGGCACCAGUUUCCUGAGGUGGUCCCUAUCCUAGUCUUGAGAUUGUUUAAAUAUGUACAUUCCAAGAAACUCCUGCUUGCAAAGGGAUUUUCCAAAAAUAAAAUAAUGGAACAAUACUGUUGAUUAAUUUAGGAGUGAUUUAAUUGGUCUUCACAUUGGCAAAUUUGCCUUGAAACAUUUCUUUAUUUAGCUUUGGCAAGGUGGUUAUGCAGGAGAAAACAACAGUUCUGGAGAGAGGCUAGUCUCUCAUGGCAUAAAACAAAGUAGGCUUGCCUAGUUAAGCUGGACU